CUCUUUUUAUAAAAAAUAAUACGCACUAAAUAUAUUAAGUCAAUAUAUUGUUUCUACUUUCUAGGGCUUUCUCUAUAUCUCAUUAUUUCUGCCACAAAUUCCCACCAGAAGAGACACAGAAAACCAGAAGAAGAAAGGGAGAAGAAGAAAGGGAAACAGGACAGGGGAGAAAAUAAAAAUAAAAAGAGAAAAAUUUAUGGUGACUCUCAUCCAAUAGAAGAGUGGUGGUAGAGAACUUGUUUUACCAUCUUCCAUCAAUGGACUCAAAUUUCAUGUAAGUUGUUUUACAUCUUUAAUUUUUUUUGAGAUACAUGUGUUUUUUUUCAGUUGAGGGUGAUUUUUUAUGAAACCAAAUACCACAAUUUAUAUAGUUGAUUGGUGUUAAAUUUUUUUACAGUGGUGGUUGAUGAAUUAAAUUGGUCAUUGAUAUUGGCAGUUGGAGUUUAUUACUACAAAUUUUGUGGUUGAAAGAGAUGGGUUGUGGAAUUUUUAUUAUUCUUUAUGUUUACCCAAUUUGUUAAAUUGUAAUUUUGGUUUCUCAAUUUUAAAUAUGCAAAGUUGAAAUCUAGCAAAUUUUGCCUUUUUUCAUUCUGCUGUAAAUGUGAUUUUGGGUUGAAAUUAUGCAAAAUGUGCAAAUUAUAGGUAUACAUGAUGCUGUUGGAGUUAAAUCUUAAAUCCUAUUUAUAUUUCUUUAUACUCGAAUGGACGUUGGAAAAUGAUUGAAUAUUACUAUUGGAAGUGGAUCCUUUUAACACUACAUUAACUGUUCUAGCAUUAGGUAUCUUUUAGAAGGUAAGUACAACAAAGAUGUUUUUAGAAAAAUCAUAGAAACCUCAAAAAACUGUAUGACAAUUUUAUACAUAUUUCAAGAUAAUUCUCAUCUCCAAGUGGUCACUUUGGGUUUUAUCUUUUCAGUUAGUUUCUUGGUGCAAUGACAACUUUUUUUGCCAAAUUAUAAUACAAUUUUGUCCAAAAUAUAUGGACUCUGAGUCCUCAUCAUUUUAUAUUGUUUAAAGUUAUUAAUUAUUACAUAUCCCUUAUACA
Molecule: long non-coding RNA, 1044 nt
Filed under: Erythranthe guttata (spotted monkey flower)
Lineage: Eukaryota; Viridiplantae; Streptophyta; Magnoliopsida; Lamiales; Phrymaceae
Description: long non-coding RNA (EGUT_LNC002245)
Source: RNAcentral